RNAcentral lists this ribosomal RNA (579 nucleotides) under Streptomyces sp. RFP1. Its description in RNAcentral is "bacterial SSU rRNA". It matches the Rfam family "Bacterial small subunit ribosomal RNA", at positions 278 to 867 of the family's 1533-position model. The record is from RNAcentral. Lineage: Bacteria; Bacillati; Actinomycetota; Actinomycetes; Kitasatosporales; Streptomycetaceae.
GACCGGUAGCCGGCCUAAGAGGGCGACCGGCCACACUGGGACUGAGACACGGCCCAGACUCCUACGGGAGGCAGCAGUGGGGAAUAUUGCACAAUGGGCGAAAGCCUGAUGCAGCGACGCCGCGUGAGGGAUGACGGCCUUCGGGUUGUAAACCUCUUUCAGCAGGGAAGAAGCGAAAGUGACGGUACCUGCAGAAGAAGCGCCGGCUAACUACGUGCCAGCAGCCGCGGUAAUACGUAGGGCGCAAGCGUUGUCCGGAAUUAUUGGGCGUAAAGAGCUCGUAGGCGGCUUGUCACGUCGGUUGUGAAAGCCCGGGGCUUAACCCCGGGUCUGCAGUCGAUACGGGCAGGCUAGAGUUCGGUAGGGGAGAUCGGAAUUCCUGGUGUAGCGGUGAAAUGCGCAGAUAUCAGGAGGAACACCGGUGGCGAAGGCGGAUCUCUGGGCCGAUACUGACGCUGAGGAGCGAAAGCGUGGGGAGCGAACAGGAUUAGAUACCCUGGUAGUCCACGCCGUAUACGGUGGGCACUAGGUGUGGGCAACAUUCCACGUUGUCCGUGCCGCAGCUAACGCAUUAAGUGC